GCGAAAGGCAGCCUGUUAAGCUGCAAAUGACAUUGAGGCUCGAAAGUGUGGGUAUCAAACAGGAUUAGAUACCCUGGUAGUCCACACGGUAAAACGAUGAAUACUCGCUGUUUGCGAUAUACGGCAAGCGGCCAAGCGAAAGCGUUAAGUAUUCCACCUGGGGAGUACGCCGGCAACGGUGAAACUCAAAGGAAUUGACGGGGGCCCGCACAAGCGGAGGAACAUGUGGUUUAAUUCGAUGAUACGCGAGGAACCUUACCCGGGCUUAAAUUGCACUCGAAUGAUCCGGAAACGGUUCAGCUAGCAAUAGCGAGUGUGAAGGUGCUGCAUGGUUGUCGUCAGCUCGUGCCGUGAGGUGUCGGCUUAAGUGCCAUAACGAGCGCAACCCUUGUUGUCAGUUACUAACAGGUGAUGCUGAGGACUCUGACAAGACUGCCAUCGUAAGAUGUGAGGAAGGUGGGGAUGACGUCAAAUCAGCACGGCCCUUACGUCCGGGGCUACACACGUGUUACAAUGGGGGGUACAGAGGGCCGCUACCACGCGAGUGGAUGCCAAUCCCUAAAACCCCUCUCAGUUCGGACUGGAGUCUGCAACCCGACUCCACGAAGCUGGAUUCGCUAGUAAUCGCGCAUCAGCCACGGCGCGGUGAAUACGUUCCCGGGCCUUGUACACACCGCCCGUCAAGCCAUGGGAGCCGGGGGUACCUGAAGUGCGUAACCGCGAGGAUCGUCCUAGGGUAAAACUGGUGACUGGGG
Molecule: ribosomal RNA, 755 nt
Filed under: uncultured organism
Description: SSU rRNA
Rfam family: Bacterial small subunit ribosomal RNA
Source: RNAcentral